This 198-nucleotide ribosomal RNA is filed under the name uncultured Nitrosomonas sp. Its description in RNAcentral is "partial 16S ribosomal RNA". It matches the Rfam family "Bacterial small subunit ribosomal RNA", at positions 335 to 524 of the family's 1533-position model. Lineage: Bacteria; Pseudomonadati; Pseudomonadota; Betaproteobacteria; Nitrosomonadales; Nitrosomonadaceae. The record is from RNAcentral.
ACUCCUACGGGAGGCAGCAGUGGGGAAUUUUGGACAAUGGGCGAAAGCCUGAUCCAGCCAUGCCGCGUGAGUGAAGAAGGCCUUCGGAUUGUAAAGCUCUUUUAGUCGGAAAGAAAGAGGUCAUAGUAAAUAGCUAUGAUUUAUGACGGUACCGACAGAAAAAGCACCGGCUAACUACGUGCCAGCAGCCGCGGUAAU